Populus trichocarpa (black cottonwood) is the source of this 2939-nucleotide long non-coding RNA. RefSeq lists it as uncharacterized. The transcript has 6 exons. The record is from RefSeq and is a predicted model, not a curated record. NCBI's taxonomy places the organism in Eukaryota, Viridiplantae, Streptophyta, Magnoliopsida, Malpighiales, Salicaceae.
CUCUCCUCACCUGGUUUCCCGCCCUGCCCUUCCCUCUCAAUUGAAGCCACCAAUGGAAGUGCAUUUUGCAUCAACUUUGAUUGAUGAGAGUUUAGGUUUUCAGCUUGAUUUGAGUCGCUAUGCUAAUCUAUCUCUUUUCUUUACAUGGUUUUGCACUCCUAUUUUCUCUCUUCUGCACAGUGGUGUAGCUCAAUUGGAAUUCAAUUUACCGUCGUUGGUUUUUUAUUAUCUUCCAGGAUUUCGGCUCUUUUGACGACCUUUUGCUGGCGCAACCACCUGAUGUUCCAUGGCUUUGGUUGCGUGAUGUUGCUCCAGUCGUGAUUUGCGAUUAUUCUCUAUGAUUCGUAGUUUUGUUUCUUUUCAGAGACCCUGCUGGUUUUUUUUUUUUUUUUUGGGGAAGCACUUUUUGAUUAGGUUUAAGUGCAUGGCGGAGCUUCCUCCUAUUUUUGAUUAGUGGUUUUAUGAUGUGAAUGUUUAGGAAUGUUGUGUGUGUUUGAUUGCCUUCGACUAGGCACGAUCGAAUAGCCUUUGUCAGGGUUAUAUGACCCUUCAGCUGGUUCUUAAGCAGUUAUGGUUUUCCUUCACUGCAUUCAUUUUCGUAUAGCUAAAUGUUUUUUUCAAAUGGUGUCGAUAUCGACUUUGUCUGGGUCCAUCUUUUUUUGGCCUUCUGCUGUUCUGUUUCUUUAGAAUCUGUCUCUACAGCUUGGGAAAAAAAGAGUGUACUGACACCCUUUCAUCUAAAGCUAGAUUGCUGAAACUUCGUCCGCUGUUACCUGCAACAUUUUUUCUUCCAGGUUUGUGCCUGUUCUUUCUCAUUUCGAUUUGGUUCUUAUAUUUUUUUAAGCUUACGUCAAGAAAGCUUCCUAACAAGUAGUCAGCCCAUAACUUUAUUUUGACCUUAACUUGGUUGGUGCGCCUGCCUUUUUAUGCACUGUUCCUUCUGUGUCGUUUAAUCCAGGUUAGUUUCUUUUCCUUUUUCAUUGAUCUGCUCUUUGCUUAAGGGAAGGAGGGUGUCAUUUAAUGUUUGUUAACAUUAGUUACUGAGUAGAUGAAAACCAAACACACAAGAUGAGAUAAACAGUUAUGUUCUAAUGUUUCCAAUCUAUCAAAAUUGAGUUUCUUCUUAAAAUAAAGUGCAUUCAAGUCUUCAUUCCCACAUCACCCUCCAAUUGUCCUUGUCGUUUUGCAGCUCACAGUAAAUUAGGUGCCUGGAAUACUUCAAUUCACUCCACUGCUGCUGCCAUCAAUUCCGCUCUAUACUAUGAAGUAUGAGCAUGGCUGGCUAGGAGGAUUUGUGGGUAUAUUAACAAAUUAGCAAGUUGCUUCUUUGAUCUAGAUGUUUAGUAAAGGUGAUGCCAGGGGAAAUUAUAAGGGUGGUCUUGGCAUCCGGACUGCUAGAGAAGCCAUCUUUAGAUGGCAGCAAAAGGAUUUCUUCUAUGGCAUGCUAGAAUUUCUGCAGACAUUUGCAACUACCUUUUCCUCUCCCGUGUUUACAAGUAUCCUGUAUCGUCAAAGAAUGAUGAGUCACACAAUAUAGGCUAACAAGUUUUAACAUUACAGUUAAUUGCUCUAAUUCUUCAUCUGCACAUUACCUUCCUUUCUCAAAGAGUUGGCUUGGAAAUACUUACCAUCUUAUAUAUUCCAUCUUUUUGUUGUUUUCGAUUGUGGUUUGUUUUUGUUGUUGUUGUUGAGGAUGGUUGCAUUCCAUAGCGGCCUCUUACCUACUUUUGUUCUAUGUUUGCUCAUGUGCUGUUCAUUAUCAGGUUGUCAUUCUUCAUUGCUUGCUGCAUUUUUUAGCUGCAGUAAUUUCUUUUUCAUUUUUUGGCCUUCUGCUGUUCUGUUUCUUUAGAAUCUGUGUCUACAGAUUAGUUUCCCACUCCUUUUCUAUGCCAUCCGAAGCAGAUAUCAACAGCAACUGACAACCCUCAUAAUUCAACAUGUCUGGUGGGUCAGCAGGAACAAACUUAUUGCCCAAAUUGGCCUUGUAGAGAGCAAGCCUGCAUAAACAAUGCCCUUCUGUCGAACUUGCUUCGCAAGGUUAAGCACGAGGAUUUCUAUACAAUUGCAAUUGAUGAACUAGAAUCUGUUACCACGAGAUACAAAUUCAGCUCCAUUGCAUGGCUUUGCGUUUUGGUUCAAUGUUGAAUUUGGUUGGCCUGCAGCAUCUCCGAAUAAGCAUCAGUCUUGCCAACUGCACCAUCAAGCAAUCCUUCAAUGGACGUUAGUAAGAGGAAGAAAAGAACAAAUCAAAAUGAGGCACUUGUGCUAUCCACUGCACCCGAGGACCCUCCAACACAUUGGCAACAUACUUUGAUAUACUUUUUCGACCCAAUAGAUGUGGAGCAAGAUCAGCUCAUUGAAGGAUCAGCUACAGUUCUGAAUUCUGAUCAUUGAAGGAUCAGCCACUAACACAAAGCAAAGAAACCGUUGAUUCAUGAAUAUUCACCUUCAAUACACGUGAGCCAGAAGUCCUUUAGGCUUAAUAGAUUCAUCUCCUCCAUCGAAUUAGGAUCAGAUUACAUAUAUUUAUAUAUUUUCUGCCUAUUGAUCAUAUUUUCUUUGAUCAUUGUCAUACGGUUCUGGUGGGUGGUUCUUUGUAAAGGAGUCCGUGACGAGGUGAUUUUUUUAAGAAUGUGUAACAGGUUUGAUGAGUCUCAACUAUUCUCACAAGUUAGUCCUACCUCAAUCUCAAGCUCUUUUGUCUGCAAAAACUAGCAGACUUUCUUUUUCAAAGGAGCUCCUCAAUUGAAUGUGCAGAUCCAUGAAUUAUUAAGGAAAUUUACCCUCAGAACAUGGAAAUGAAACUAACAUUAAAGACAAAUAUAGGUGAACUGAUUCGUGAAAAUUGAUUUUAAACAGUACUUGGGAUGUAGGCUAUGUAAGAAGAGCAUGUGAUGUUACUGUUGUAUUUUACCCAUUUUAUAUACUCACUUUUGCAA